GACGAACGCUGGCGGCGUGCUUAACACAUGCAAGUCGAACGGAAAGGCCCUGCUUUUGUGGGGUGCUCGAGUGGCGAACGGGUGAGUAACACGUGAGUAACCUGCCCUUGACUUUGGGAUAACUUCAGGAAACUGGGGCUAAUACCGGAUAGGAGCUCCUGCUGCAUGGUGGGGGUUGGAAAGUUUCGGCGGUUGGGGAUGGACUCGCGGCUUAUCAGCUUGUUGGUGGGGUAGUGGCUUACCAAGGCUUUGACGGGUAGCCGGCCUUAGAGGGUGACCGGCCACAUUGGGACUGAGAUACGGCCCAGACUCCUACGGGAGGCAGCAGUGGGGAAUAUUGCACAAUGGGCCGAAGCCUGAUGCAGCAACGCCGCGUGCGGGAUGACGUCCUUCGGGUUGUAAACCGCUUUCGCCUGUGACGAAGCGUGAGUGACGGUAAUGGGUAAAGAAGCACCGGCUAACUACGUG
This 468-nucleotide ribosomal RNA is filed under the name uncultured bacterium. Its description in RNAcentral is "partial 16S ribosomal RNA". It matches the Rfam family "Bacterial small subunit ribosomal RNA", at positions 28 to 507 of the family's 1533-position model. The record is from RNAcentral.